UAUCGAGCAACUGAUACAGUUAUUAAAGGCGCUGGCAAACUCAAGUUGGUUUUUGUACCUGAAGGACAGGACGAGAAGACAGAGUUAGAGGUUUUCAACUUUACAGGUGCUGGGGGGGUGGCAUUAUCGAUGUAUAACACUGCUGAGUCAAUCCGUGCUUUCGCUGAGGCCUCUAUGAACACAGCUUACCUGAAAAAAUGGCCACUUUAUCUUAGCACAA
This 220-nucleotide unclassified non-coding RNA is filed under the name Hevea brasiliensis (rubber tree). The record is from RNAcentral. Lineage: Eukaryota; Viridiplantae; Streptophyta; Magnoliopsida; Malpighiales; Euphorbiaceae.